RNAcentral lists this long non-coding RNA (606 nucleotides) under Bos taurus (domestic cattle). Its description in RNAcentral is "long non-coding RNA NONBTAT025707". The record is from RNAcentral. Lineage: Eukaryota; Metazoa; Chordata; Mammalia; Artiodactyla; Bovidae.
UUUUUAUAGGGAGUUAUAUUUAGCUGGAAUUUUUUGAUUUCAUCUUUUAAGUAUAUUUUUCUUUGAAGAGUCUUCUCAUUAAUUUUUCACUGAGUAAUUUUAUUGAAGCAGUUAGAAGAAUUUUAUACUUGCACAGAAAGCUUCAGAACUAAUUGGCUUUCUGCUUUAAAAUUAUGUGGGCUUCUAAAGGAAGUGGUUUAUUUCAGUUAAAAACUUAAGUAGUUCAGAAUGUUCUCAGAUAUGUCUUAAGAUUCUCUUUGUGUAUACACCUACACUGGAAAAACUGAAGCACUAAUUGCUUAAUUUAAAAAUAAUUUGCUUUAGACUCUCAAAACAGCCUGUCUUCUUUGUAUAGCCAGUACCAUGUAAGAAUUGCAUGAAUGUUAAAUAGAGUUUUCUUUUCAUCCUAAUUACCUUGUUUUUUUUAAACCAUAGAAAUUAUAAUCAGAUUACAUAUAUUUGUAUAUACUUUCUUGUUUCAUUCCAAGGCAAUUAUAAAUCCUUUUAAAUAUUUUUUUCGGAGAAAGAAUUGCUAAGUAUUUAGCUAGGGAUUAGGAUGGAUUAGAAUGGGAACUGAUAAAUACAGUUCAAUUUAGCUAGCAUUUA